This 278-nucleotide ribosomal RNA is filed under the name uncultured bacterium. Its description in RNAcentral is "partial 16S ribosomal RNA". It matches the Rfam family "Bacterial small subunit ribosomal RNA", at positions 29 to 329 of the family's 1533-position model. The record is from RNAcentral.
AACGAACGCUGGCGGCAUGCCUAACACAUGCAAGUCGAACGGGAUCCAGGCUUCGGCCUGGUGAGAGUGGCGGACGGGUGAGUAACGCGUGGGAACCUGCCCAAUGGUCUGGGAUAACCGCGGGAAACUGCGGCUAAUACCGGAUAAGCCCGAGAGGGAAGAUUAUCGCCGAUGGAGGGCCGCGUCAGAUUAGGUAGUUGGUGGGUAAGUGGCCUACCAACGCCUACGAUCUGUAGCUGGUCUGAGAGGAUGAUCAGCCACACUGGACUGAGAUACGG